RNAcentral lists this non-coding RNA (28 nucleotides) under Mus musculus (house mouse). The record is from RNAcentral. Lineage: Eukaryota; Metazoa; Chordata; Mammalia; Rodentia; Muridae.
AUGUGGGGAUAAACCCUCGUGGCGUCAG